This 75-nucleotide transfer RNA is filed under the name Verrucomicrobiales bacterium. RNAcentral describes it as "tRNA-Val". It matches the Rfam family "tRNA". Rfam says of the family: Transfer RNA (tRNA) molecules are approximately 80 nucleotides in length. Lineage: Bacteria; Pseudomonadati; Verrucomicrobiota; Verrucomicrobiia; Verrucomicrobiales. The record is from RNAcentral.
GCGCGAUUAACUCAGUGGUAGAGUAUCACCUUGACAUGGUGGGAGUCACUGGUUCAAAUCCAGUAUCGCGCACCA